CCUACGGGUGGCAGCAGUCGAGAAUCAUUCACAAUGGGUGAAACCCUGAUGGUGCGACGCCGCGUGGGGGAAUGAAGGUCUUCGGAUUGUAAACCCCUGUCAUGUGGGAGCAAAUUAAAAAGAUAGUACCACAAGAGGAAGAGACGGCUAACUCUGUGCCAGCAGCCGCCGUAAUACAGAGGUCUCAAGCGUUGUUCGGAAUCACUGGGCGUAAAGCGUGCGUAGGCUGUUUCGUAAGUCGUGUGUGAAAGGCGCGGGCUCAAGCCGCGGACGGCACAUGAUACUGCGAGACUAGAGUAAGGGAGGGGGAAGCGGAAUUCUCGGUGUAGCAGUGAAAUGCGUAGAUAUCGAGAGGAACACUCGUGGCGAAGGCGGGUUCCUGGACAUUAACUGACGCUGAGGCACGAAGGCCAGGGGAGCGAAAGGGAUUAGAUACCCCAGUAGUC
RNAcentral lists this ribosomal RNA (446 nucleotides) under uncultured bacterium. Its description in RNAcentral is "partial 16S ribosomal RNA". It matches the Rfam family "Bacterial small subunit ribosomal RNA", at positions 338 to 795 of the family's 1533-position model. The record is from RNAcentral.